AUUGAACGCUGGCGGCAUGCCUUACACAUGCAAGUCGAACGGCAGCACGGGAGCAAUCCUGGUGGCGAGUGGCGAACGGGUGAGUAAUAUAUCAGAACGUGCCCAGUCGUGGGGGAUAACGCAGCGAAAGCUGUGCUAAUACCGCAUACGAUCUACGGAUGAAAGCGGGGGAUCGCAAGACCUCGCGCGAUUGGAGCGGCCGAUAUCAGAUUAGCUAGUUGGUGAGGUAAAGGCUCACCAAGGCGACGAUCUGUAGCUGGUCUGAGAGGACGACCAGCCACACUGGAACUGAGACACGGUCCAGACUCCUACGGGAGGCAGCAGUGGGGAAUUUUGGACAAUGGGCGAAAGCCUGAUCCAGCAAUGCCGCGUGCAGGAUGAAGGCCUUCGGGUUGUAAACUGCUUUCGUACGGAACGAAACGGUGAGCUCUAAUACAGUUUGCUAAUGACGGUACCGUAAGAAUAAGCACCGGCUAACUACGUGCCAGCCGCCGCCGUAA
This 500-nucleotide ribosomal RNA is filed under the name uncultured bacterium. Its description in RNAcentral is "partial 16S ribosomal RNA". It matches the Rfam family "Bacterial small subunit ribosomal RNA", at positions 30 to 523 of the family's 1533-position model. The record is from RNAcentral.